UGCUAAAUUGAUGCUCGUUGAUACAGAAGAAGUUCAGGUGGCUCUGGUCGUCUUCGCCUUUGCCGUGCGUGCCCACGCCUGGAGAUUUGUCGUCGCGGACGGCGGCGAGCCUCCGAGACACAGCGUCGACGAAGCCAAGGGAGAUGUUGAGCUUGGUCCGGUGAUCCCUAAUGGCGUCCUUCAUCCUCUUGAUGACGAACAACUCUGCGCCGUUGGCGUGCUGGGCUCCUAGCUCCUCACCGGCCACGGCUGCCAUGGCCAUCAUGGCCUGCGUGCUCACCGGAUAGCAGCAGGCACUCCCGGGAUGCAUCUUCAAUCAGGAUUGUGUAGCGAGGAAGAUGGCUAUGAUGUUUUGACCCGCGUGACAUGAGACAAGCGAGUUUCGGGUAGGAUUGUGCUUUUCCCAGUCUGCUAAACAUAUGUGGGGUUAGGAUAGACCGGGAUCGAAGAGGUUGGGUACCGAUUUUAGGGAUUUGGAGGUGAGGGUUCAUCUACAUCGACCCCUACAAUCUCAGGGUUUAUUUUAGACUUCACUCUCUCCCGAACGAGGUCCGAUCCGCUCCUCCCCCUCUCCCGAGGAUACGCAGCCGCCGCCUUCGCCGGAUUCGCCGCCGUCGAUCUGCUGAUCCGGGCAGCGCAGCCGCCGCCGAUCUGCCUAUCCAGGCAGACGCGGCCGUCAUGGAUCACGAGAACACCGCGCCUCGAAUACGUUGCCCAUCACCACCACGAUGGCACCUCGCUGCUGCCGCUCAGCAUGGAUGGCCGCCCCAAGACAUGGAUAAGCUCUCGUGAUCCCCACCCCACCCCUCUCAUCCACUGAAUCCAUAUCCUCCUUCCCGUCUUGAUCCCGCCCAUGAUCUGAUCAGGAAGCUGCCCACGGUCCGAUCCCCUGGUUUUUUAUCCAGUUAUCCACCUCUCGUCUCUCGUCUAGCAACCCCCAUCUUCGGUGUGGCGACGUUGCUGACGUCGCCGCGACCUCCCGCAAUUAUAGGCUCGGCCUUCCUCGACUCCAUGCGCGGCUGACGAGGUGGUCUUCGUGCAGAGGUGGUAUGCUCGUGCUCUCCUGGUCCUCCCGAAACGACGAGGGGUAGUGCCGGUCGUGGCUCAGCAGGAUAGCAUAAGCUUGCCCUUGUUCUUUUGUGUUUGAAUCAGAUUUGUUGGUUCUCAGUUUUACAUGCACCUAUCAAUCUUUCUUCUGUAUGCAGGUUACACACCUGAUGAUGUUUACGGCGAGGCGCAGGAACAAGCAGAGGCCGAGGAAGUGCGGGCACACGCGAGGAAGGUUCAGCGGGCUGCAGAAGUCGGGCCACGCCCGGAGCGCCGUGCCAAUGCAUGUGUGCGUGGUUGGUGGGUUGGCCAAGAUCUGCAUUCUGCGACUUCGUCUUCACCAUGGACACAAGCAAGGACUGAUUCGUGGGUCUUGGUAGCAGUGCCGAGCAUCGGCGGAUCGAAGAGGUCGAGGUCGCGGUUGAUCGACCAGGACGAGACAUGCAUCUUGGAGCUAGCGCAGAGGGGGAAAGAAGCAGGUUGGUCUGGCCUGGCCUCGCAAAUGAAUUGAAACCUUGAUGCAAAAGGAAACUUCCUGAAGAAGAUAUUGAAAAUCCAACAUCACAGCAUAUAGGAGACUACUUAUUUUGGUCAUGCUGAUCGAUUGGCCUAUGAAACUUCUGCGACUUCAUAUUCACCAUGGACACAAGCAAGGACUGAUUCGUGGGUCUUGGUAGCGGUGCCGAGCAUCAGUGGAUCGAAGUGGUCGAGGUCGCGGUUAAUCGACCAGGACGAGACAUGCAUCUUGGAGCUAGCGCAGAGGGGGAAAGAAGCAGGUUGGUCUGGCCCGGCCUCGCAAAUGAAUUGGUUCCAAAGUUUGACCGUAGCUAGCUUGAUUUGGAGACAUUUCAUGUUAGGACUUAAACUUUGGUACCUUUGUUACUUGGUAUUCCCCUGUCAGCGUUCAGGAGUCGGGUAGUUGUGGAGUGGGUCGUGGGAGAGACCGUCGGCGAGAGCGGGCUGGAUGGGAAGGUGAUGCCUGCGAUGGCGAACAUGCCGGCGAGCAGGGAAGGGUUGACCAUGGCCAUUGCGCAGCUGAAGAAGUCGAAGCCUGGGGCGAGGUUGGCCACCGUGGCCGAUGUGAAAGCUGACGGACCUAAAGGCUGGUGACAGGUUCACCGCCAUCACAAUCUCUGAACUUGGUGGAGACGCGGAAGGAGAGCGGUGGCGCCGUGAAGACCUCAACGUUUGCUGCCGCGGCCAUGACCAUGAUCAUGACCAUUGUGUUGGUAAUAAAUAUACUAAUUGUAUACAUAUCCCCCAGCUUAGGAAACAUUAGAUAAAUAUCCAACUUAUUAUUGAAAAAGCUUGAUUCAAAAUAAAUGGAACCUUUCCUAUAUACAAUGAGCUUCGGAAACAUUAGAUAAAUAUCCAACUUAUUAUUGAAAACUCUUGAUUCAAGAUAAAUGGAACCUUUCCUAUAUACAGUGACCUUAUUAUUGAAGGUUGCAUCGAUUGUGCUAUUAUUGCUGAAAUAAGAGGCUUAUGAAUUUGUCAAUCUUUGUGUA
Triticum aestivum (bread wheat) is the source of this 2555-nucleotide long non-coding RNA. RefSeq lists it as uncharacterized. The record is from RefSeq and is a predicted model, not a curated record. NCBI's taxonomy places the organism in Eukaryota, Viridiplantae, Streptophyta, Magnoliopsida, Poales, Poaceae. The transcript has 4 exons.